CCUACGGGAGGCAGCAUUGAGGAAUAUUGGACAAUGGAUGGAAAUCUGAUCCAGCCAUGCCGCGUGCAGGAAGGCGGCCCUAUGGGUUAUAAACUGCUUUUGUACGGGAGCAAUAAGGUCUACGAGUAGAUUGAUGAGAGUACUGUACGAAUAAGCAUCGGCUAACUCCGUGCCAGCAGCCGCGGUAAUACGGAGGAUGCGAGCGUUAUCCGGAUUUAUUGGGUUUAAAGGGUGCGUAGGCUGUUAUGUAAGUCAGUGGUAAAAGGUACAGGCUUAACUGGUAUAUGCCAUUGAAACUGUAUAGCUAGGAUAUGGAUGAAGUGUGCGGAAUGUGUGGUGUAGCGGUGAAAUGCAUAGAUAUCACACAGAACACCGAUAGCGAAGGCAGCACAGUAAGGCAAUAUUGACGCUGAGGCAAGAAAGUGUGGGGAUCAAACAGGAUUAGAUACCCUGGUAGUCCACACUGUAAACGAUGAUAACUAGCUGUGUCGAUAUAAUGAC
RNAcentral lists this ribosomal RNA (501 nucleotides) under uncultured bacterium. RNAcentral describes it as "bacterial SSU rRNA". It matches the Rfam family "Bacterial small subunit ribosomal RNA", at positions 338 to 842 of the family's 1533-position model. The record is from RNAcentral.